CGCAGAAUCCCGUGAACCAUCGAGUCUUUGAACGCAAGUUGCGCCCGAAGCCUUUAGGCCGAGGGCACGCCUGCCUGGGCGUCA
This 84-nucleotide ribosomal RNA is filed under the name Crataegus orbicularis. RNAcentral describes it as "partial 5.8S ribosomal RNA". It matches the Rfam family "5.8S ribosomal RNA", at positions 73 to 154 of the family's 154-position model. Rfam says of the family: 5.8S ribosomal RNA (5.8S rRNA) is a component of the large subunit of the eukaryotic ribosome. It is transcribed by RNA polymerase I as part of the 45S precursor that also contains 18S and 28S rRNA. Lineage: Eukaryota; Viridiplantae; Streptophyta; Magnoliopsida; Rosales; Rosaceae. The record is from RNAcentral.